CAGCAGCCGCGGUAAUACGGAGGGUGCAAGCGUUAUCCGGAUUUAUUGGGUUUAAAGGGUCCGUAGGCGGACUUAUAAGUCAGUGGUGAAAGCCUGUCGCUUAACGAUAGAACUGCCAUUGAUACUGUAAGUCUUGAGUAUAUUUGAGGUAGCUGGAAUAAGUAGUGUAGCGGUGAAAUGCAUAGAUAUUACUUAGAACACCAAUUGCGAAGGCAGGUUACCAAGAUAUAACUGACGCUGAGGGACGAAAGCGUGGGUAGCGAACAGGAUUAGAUACCCCUGUAGUCCCUGUCUCUUAUAA
RNAcentral lists this ribosomal RNA (301 nucleotides) under uncultured bacterium. RNAcentral describes it as "partial 16S ribosomal RNA". It matches the Rfam family "Bacterial small subunit ribosomal RNA", at positions 509 to 809 of the family's 1533-position model. The record is from RNAcentral.